AUGGAAGCAUUGAAGAAAAAAUUAUCUUCUGCAAUUAGGUCCAUGUUAGGCAAUCCAGCCUGCCUCACCUGCCAAAGUCAGAAGUGGUCAUAUCUGCACAAAGUGAUAAUUUUUCUAUCCCUUUUCUUGUCAAGAUUGCGUCAAUCAUCAUGUGACAGACCACCCAUGUGUAAAAAGACGUAUGUCUGGUGGGAGCUGAUAUGGAACCUACAGAUGGGUUUACUGGCUUCAAAAAGCAGAGAUGAGCAUUUUUCCCAGCUCCUUGUCCCAGUUGUGAAUCCUUCUCAGUGCUAAGGGCCUAAGAACCAAGCCCUUCCCUUUCUAAGUCACAGCAG
RNAcentral lists this long non-coding RNA (335 nucleotides) under Anas platyrhynchos platyrhynchos (common mallard). RNAcentral describes it as "lncRNA (ENSAPLG00000024579.1)". Lineage: Eukaryota; Metazoa; Chordata; Aves; Anseriformes; Anatidae. The record is from RNAcentral.